AGUCUCUUGGAACAGAGCGUCAUAGAGGGUGAGAAUCCCGUCCUUGACAUGGACUCCCAGUGCUUUGUGUUGUGCUCUCAACGAGUCGAGUUGUUUGGGAAUGCAGCUCAAAAUGGGUGGUAAAUUCCAUCUAAAGCUAAAUAUUGGCGAGAGACCGAUAGCGAACAAGUACCGUGAGGGAAAGAUGAAAAGCACUUUGGAGAGAGAGUUAAACAGUACGUGAAAUUGUUGAAAUGGAAACGCUUGAAGUCAGUCGCGUUCUCUGGGAUUCAGCCUUGCUUCUGCUUGGUGCACUUCCUAGUUUACGGGCCAACAUGGAUUUUGACCGGUGGAAAAGGAUUUGGGGAAUGUGGCACCUCCGGGUGUGUUAUAGCCCCUUGUCGCAUACAUCGGAUGGGAUCGAGGUUUCAGUGCACGCUUCGNNUGUGCUUUGAUGNUGGCGUAAUGGCUUUAAACGACCCGUCUUGAAACACGGACC
Molecule: ribosomal RNA, 478 nt
Filed under: soil fungal sp. DM229
Lineage: Eukaryota; Fungi
Description: eukaryotic LSU rRNA
Rfam family: Eukaryotic large subunit ribosomal RNA
Source: RNAcentral